AUUCUCUAUUUGGGAAACAAUGGGUAGAGGGAUUGAAGCAGGAGAAGUUUCAGAGAAUCACUCUUGCAAGAGAUGCUGCACUCUGGCAGACUCGAUAAUGACAAAUAUGUCAAGCAACUGAGUUUCAGCAGGGUUCCUUCGGGCCUUGUUCACCAACUUGUGGUUUCCGUGGUGACAGGACAGCUGCCAGGUAGAUGGCGGCUUUGGGGCCACCUGACUGGCUCUGACGAUAACUGGCUUUGACAGCUUUGAUUGGAAUGAAAAGAUUUAGGGUCCCUACUGGCUUUCUUAAAUUAAACCCUCCCUCCUGGAGUUAGCUUGUUUAUCAACAUUAUCUUAGAUUAGGGGACUUUCUUGUGAUCAGAGAGUUCUUUUACCACGAUGGUUCACAUGUUGGGGCCACUGGCAGGGUUUCUGAGAUCAGGGUCCUCGGAGCAGCACAGAGAGGUAAGGCUACACCCUGAUGUGCUUCUCAGGCAAUGCCUCCAAGGGGCAUGUUAACAGUCAGAUCUAGUUAGGAAAGAAAACAGGAAAAGGACCUGCAUUUUAACAGAAAUAAUUUAAUCUAGGCAAUUGAGUAAGCAGGUAUUAGAGGCUGAAAGGCAAAAAGGAAGUAUCAAGAUAAACACAGGGAUGGUAACUGCCAGAGGCAGCUCUACCUCUGGGGCUGAAGAACACAGGGAAGAUACUGGGGUUGCAAUAAUUUCAAAGCUUGGAAGAGGAGCCCUGCGGAGCUGGGACCUAGGCUUCUAAGGAGCGGCGACUGCACAGUAUCUGUGAGGCUGGAUUUGAGAGUCCAGAAAAUGUUGAAGACUGGAACCCAUUGCUAUUGAGGUAAACUGCCACUGCAAGGUGAAAAGUCAUUGUUGGGGUGAUGCUCACAGGGACAAGAAGCAGUCCCAGGAAGAGGCAAGUCCCUGCUCUGCCAAUUUGCCAUCCCUCCUUACUGACAGAGCCCCACAUGGAGCCAGCUGGCCACAGAGCAGUGUGGUUCGCCAAGUUCCAGCCCCAGAAUCACAGGGUAGAGUACAGACAGGUCCACCAGCAGGCACUGAACAAACACUUCAGCCCGCAUGCCCAAACUCUGUGUAAAGGCCGCUAAUAAGAGCCACCCCUUAGCUAUCCCUGAGGCCUCAGUGACCUCACCACAGACGGGACAGAUGGGAAGAGGUUCACACAGCCCUGGAAGAGGCUGGGACAUUUGAGCAGGGAAUUCUGGGCCCUGGGUUACGAACCAUGCACCAAAAGGAGGACUGGCCCUGGGUGGCACACAGACAAGGCCCAUGAACUUCUUGUCCUAUGGGGCGGGGCCAGCCCCACCAAGACCAGGGCAGGGCACCUAAAACCACAGCCCAGGGUUGCACCCUGAGAGAAUAAAAGAGACUACCGGGGCAGAGCGGAUCCUAGAAGGGAGAGGCACUAUGGGGCCAGCCUCUUUCUGAAGCCCCACCCAGAGAAGCACCCUUUGCUGGAAAAGAAAACAGCAGAAGCCAAGGUAAAUAACAUCUUUGUGUGGCGUGUUGCAGCUGUCACAGCCGCCAGCAGACAGCCGACUCCCUCACCAGUAAACACCGCGGCUUAGGUGUUGCCCACCGGGCACCGGAAGGCGGCCCCCUUCUCGCUCUCCAGUGAAUGUUCCUAAAACAACUGCGGGGUCCAAGAGCACAGGGAGAACAGCGCCCCUGACGCAGGCUGCGCACCCGCCCGGAGGAGGCAGUGCGUCAGUCCUGAGGUCACCGCCACCCGCUCCCGGGGGACGGCCGCCUGGGCAGGUGAGGAGGCGACCACCUCCCAGACGCCUGCCGGAGCUGCGGCGCACCGACUCCCUGCUUCUCCGAGCGGCGAGCGCCACCUGGAGGCUCCCUCGAGAUCUGCAUUUAGGAGGCGACGGGUCCUUUCAUCGUUUUAUUCAUUAAACAUUUAUCGAGGCCUGGAGCGAUGGUUCAAGCCUGUAAUCCCAGCACUUUGGGAGACCGAGACGGGCGGAUCACUUGAGGUCAGGAGUUGGAGACCAGCCUGGCCAACAUGGCGAAACCCCAUCUCUACUAAAAAUACAAAAAUUAGCCGGGCACGGUGGCGCACACCUGUAAUCCCAGCUACUCAUGAUGAGGCUGAGGCACAAGAAUCGCUUGAACCCGAGAGGCGGAAGUUGCAGUGAGCGGAGAUGGAGCCACUGUGUGUUAGGCUCUGGCGACGUGGGGAGAAAUAAAGAUAAUGUCUUGUUUCCCAGGGCAUUAAUAGCGUGAUGGGGAAGACAGGCCAUCAACAAUGUGCAACACUAAGGGCUAGGAAAGAGGUGGAUACAAAGGAGGGAAUAAGGAAUGUGGUCAUUCCUUAAGGUGUUUAUUGGUGCCAGGUACUGUUCAAGGCACCAAAAAGAAUGGAACCAAACAGAGAUCCUGCUCCCAAAGAGCUCAUAGUGGAAGGACAGCCAGACAAGCUUAGAAUUACGGGACAGGCCUAAGAAGGAGCCAGACUGGGGACCAGAGGCGUCCGAAGGGAAGUCCAGGAAGUACCGCAGGAAAACGUGAUAUAUAUUAAAUCUUAAAGAAUGGGCAGGAUUUUGCCAGGCUUAGUGACAAGAUAUCUUCCGUAAAAUCGUGGAACUGAAAAGAAAGGAUAUAGGUUGAAGAAGGGCUAGUUCUGUGUCUGAAAUAGAAGGAACAUGAAAGAGAAGUGCUGGGACAUGGGGCAAAAAAGGGAGUUUGGGGCCAGAUCGUGAAAGCCUUGGUUUAACAGGUGAAAAGUUCAAAUUUGAUCCAGGUAGCUGGCAGAGUCAGAGGUUCUAAAGCAGAGACCUGCUCUAUAGAAAGCUCACCAUGAAGUACAGCAGUGAUGGUGGAUGAAGAUACCAACAGCUCAACCUCCUAUGUGCCAGGGAAAUGCUGAGCGCUUAGCACCUGAUAUUUAUCUUAAUUCUCUAAAUGGGCCUAUGGGGUAAGCAUAUUAUUAUCCCAAUUUUAUUGGAAUACUUCCCUGGUAGGGCCCCUAAACAGGUAGCCAUCAAAUGCCUGAUAAAUUCCAGCUAGCUUUAAAUUCUAGUCGCUACAGAGCAGAGCCCUUCCAUCGCACUGAGCUGAAGGAGCCAGAUGGGCAUUACAGACAAGACCCACUCAGUAGGUGAAAUCAACAGAGCCUAAUGACUAUCUAGAUCUGCAAGAUGAAGAAUAGGAAAGAGCUAAAGACAAGAUUAUGAUGAAAAGUUUGAUUUUGAAAUAAUACAUUUUUAAGAGCUGAGAAAAACCGUAUCCAUCAUCCAGAACAACCGCCUAUUCUACCCACACUCCCAGCACCACAUCAGUACACGUGUGCCUGUACUCACCAUUCUGCCUUGCCUCCUGCUGGCAUGGACGAGUGCUGCGUGUUCCUAAGUGCCACCUUCCGCUGUGCACUCGAUCCCAUCCUCGCGCCCAC
Molecule: long non-coding RNA, 3414 nt
Filed under: Homo sapiens (human)
Lineage: Eukaryota; Metazoa; Chordata; Mammalia; Primates; Hominidae
Description: HSALNT0034290
Source: RNAcentral